Molecule: ribosomal RNA, 206 nt
Filed under: uncultured bacterium
Lineage: Bacteria
Description: partial 16S ribosomal RNA
Rfam family: Bacterial small subunit ribosomal RNA
Source: RNAcentral
CAAACCCCAGGGGAAACUUGGGCUAAUACCGCAUAACAUCCCGACCUCUCCGGGGACGGGAUCAAAGCUGGGGAUCGCAAGACCUGGCGCUUGAGGAGGAGCCUGCGGCUGAUUAGCUUGUUGGUGGGGUAAAGGCCUACCAAGGCGACGAUCAGUAGCCGGCCUGAGAGGGUGAUCGGCCACACUGGAACUGAGACACGGUCCAG